UCGCUCCUACCGAUUUCGAGUGGUCCGGUGAAUCUUUCGGACUGCGCAGGGCUUCGUGCCUUGCCGCGGAAAGUCAGGUAAACCUUAUCACUUAGAGGAAGGAG
This 104-nucleotide ribosomal RNA is filed under the name uncultured eukaryote. Its description in RNAcentral is "partial small subunit ribosomal RNA". The record is from RNAcentral.